This is a long non-coding RNA of Solanum stenotomum, 1626 nucleotides long. RefSeq lists it as uncharacterized. The record is from RefSeq and is a predicted model, not a curated record. Lineage: Eukaryota; Viridiplantae; Streptophyta; Magnoliopsida; Solanales; Solanaceae. The transcript has 10 exons.
AGAUUUUUGAUUCGCGGCGUGUAAUCCAAAUUUCUUACGGCUCUCACUCUGUGCCUUCCUCUUCAUCUUUUCAAUUCCACUGUCGAUUUCUGUUGCAAUUGAUUACUUCGCGUCUUCCAUAGUUCAUCUUGCCCACAAGUUUGUUCGGUAUAAACAGAAAUUAAAUUCUAUAGUUGAUGGAUUCCAAAAAAUCGAACGAUUGUUCAUAUGCAGAAAAAAGGAAGGCUGCUAUGCAACUUAAAUGGCGCAAUACAUAUAGUUAGGUGUCUGCUCACAAAAAGGAGGUGUUACUGCUAGCCCGCCGUGUGAAAACAGAUUCUACAAGGCAUAACCUUCUUGAAAAUCCCACUAUUGACACCCCAAUGCAGCAAACAUCAUGUUGGUACAGAGACGGUUUUCCAAAACAGGCUGCAAGCCUGCACUUAUCAUUUGAGAACCUCCAACGCUUUUUGAAAAAGCUGCCUGUCACCAAGUUCGACCAACUCAACCCCAAGACAUUUUAAACAAAGAAAAACAAGUACACAAUCCUCUGAUCAUUUCUCAAACAACUACCUACGACGAAAUUCGUUUCGUUCAAUCUCUGGACAAUUUGGACAAAAGAAAACAAGUAUGCAGCCCGCUCCCUAUCUUCGAAACGGGGUGCAUGUCGGGUGCGUCUACUCAGCAUUUUCCAACCUUAAAUAUAGUCCCAUCCAAAGGUUUGCGCUGACUCGAUGCUCCUCCGUCUGCUGAUUUCAGGAUGCGAUUUCAGAACCAUUUGUGCCUCUAACUUAAGAGAAGCAUGAUGAGGUUUCUUGUGCUUUAUCUAAAUCCAAUCGGUAUGAUUUGUACACUUUUUUUUAUACGAGGUUCAGUUUGCGAUCUCUUUAUAUGUUGUAUCUGUCUAAUUUUGUGCAGAACAAAGGUUUUGGUAACCCAAAAGGUCCAAUAUUGAUAUUACUGGAGAAAUAUUGCAAUAUUUGACAUCUGGGGCAUGGUUAAACUAUGAGCUGAUACUUUAUGUUCAGUUCCCUAUUCAGGAAUUAUGAAUGUGUAUCUUGAACGGCUAAAAGAGAGAGAGAGAGAGAGAAGGGAACCCAGGAAGUUCUUCAAAUGUCAUUUCUUUAACACAUUCUUUUACAAGAAGGAGCGAUUGAAGAGCUUACACAAUAUAUUGUUGAUAUUCUGUAUUCAUUGGCAUAGCAAAUGCCCUGAUAAUGGCUGCGCUUGUGUGUACAGAUCAUUGAGCUUUAUGGAUGCAGUUCGUACAAAUGGAUCUGCCAAGCAUACCCUUUUACAUGCUAAGUUACCCUGUUUGAAGAUACUCAAUGUCGAGGUUCUUAAAUAAAUAUCUUGCCAGCUUCCACACUUUUUUAAUCUCAUCCGACUGCCUGACAAAGCAAAAACAGAGCAAUAUAACCUCCAUACAUUCAACAGAAGUAUCAGCACCAACUUUACAUUUCUUGUUGUAUUGGAAGAAACAUUGCUAUUCCUUAAAUUAUAAUCUUCAUCAUAUUUGGCCCGGCUUUCCCCCAUCUAGUAUAUAUAAAUAUAUAGCUUAAAAUUUUAAAUUUAUUGGACCUUAUAUAUGGUUCAAUAUGCGGUCCAUAUGUCUAAUAUUCGGACCUUUUGUCGACUUCAUCUCAA